RNAcentral lists this ribosomal RNA (226 nucleotides) under Ligilactobacillus salivarius. RNAcentral's name for it is "partial 16S ribosomal RNA". It matches the Rfam family "Bacterial small subunit ribosomal RNA", at positions 1 to 208 of the family's 1533-position model. The record is from RNAcentral. Lineage: Bacteria; Bacillati; Bacillota; Bacilli; Lactobacillales; Lactobacillaceae.
UAAAAUGAGAGUUUGAUCCUGGCUCAGGACGAACGCUGGCGGCGUGCCUAAUACAUGCAAGUCGAACGAAACUUUCUUACACCGAAUGCUUGCAUUCACCGUAAGAAGUUGAGUGGCGGACGGGUGAGUAACACGUGGGUAACCUGCCUAAAAGAAGGGGAUAACACUUGGAAACAGGUGCUAAUACCGUAUAUCUCUAAGGAUCGCAUGAUCCUUAGAUGAAAGA